AUUGAACGCCGGCGGAAUGCUUUACACAUGCAAGUCGAACGGCAGCACGGACUUCGGUCUGGUGGCGAGUGGCGAACGGGUGAGUAAUGUAUCGGAACGUGCCCAGUCGUGGGGGAUAACGUAGUGAAAAUUACGCUAAUACCGCAUACGAUCUAUGGAUGAAAGCGGGGGAUCGCAAGACCUCGCGCGAUUGGAGCGGCCGAUAUCAGAUUAGGUAGUUGGUGGGGUAAAGGCCCACCAAGCCAACGAUCUGUAGCUGGUCUGAGAGGACGACCAGCAACACUGGAACUGAUACACGGUCCAGACUCCUACGGGAGGCAGCAGUGGGGAAUUUUGGACAAUGGGCGAAAGCCUGAUCCAGCCAUUCCGCGUGCAGGAUGAAGGCCCUCGGGUUGUAAACUGCUUUUGUACAGAACGAAAAGGUUUCUACUAAUACUAGGAGCUCAUGACGGUACUGUAAGAAUAAGCACCGGCUAACUACGUGCCAGCCGCCGCAGUAA
Molecule: ribosomal RNA, 500 nt
Filed under: uncultured bacterium
Lineage: Bacteria
Description: partial 16S ribosomal RNA
Rfam family: Bacterial small subunit ribosomal RNA
Source: RNAcentral